GAUGAACGCUGGCGGCGUGCCUAAUACAUGCAAGUCGAGCGAACAGACGAGGAGCUUGCUCCUCUGACGUUAGCGGCGGACGGGUGAGUAACACGUGGAUAACCUACCUAUAAGACUGGGAUAACUUCGGGAAACCGGAGCUAAUACCGGAUAAUAUAUUGAACCGCAUGGUUCAAUAGUGAAAGACGGUUUUGCUGUCACUUAUAGAUGGAUCCGCGCCGCAUUAGCUAGUUGGUAAGGUAACGGCUUACCAAGGCGACGAUGCGUAGCCGACCUGAGAGGGUGGUCGGGCACACUGGGACUGAGACACGGUCCAGACUCCUACGGGAGGCAGCAGUAGGGAAUCUUCCGCAAUGGGCGAAAGCCUGACGGAGCAACGCCGCGUGAGUGAUGAAGGUCUUCGGAUCGUAAAACUCUGUUAUUAGGGAAGAACAAAUGUGUAAGUAACUAUGCACGUCUUGACGGUACCUAAUCAGAAAGCCACGGCUAACUACGUG
Molecule: ribosomal RNA, 497 nt
Filed under: uncultured bacterium
Lineage: Bacteria
Description: partial 16S ribosomal RNA
Rfam family: Bacterial small subunit ribosomal RNA
Source: RNAcentral